This is a long non-coding RNA of Mauremys reevesii (Reeves's turtle), 526 nucleotides long. RefSeq lists it as uncharacterized. The transcript is spliced from 2 exons. The record is from RefSeq and is a predicted model, not a curated record. NCBI's taxonomy places the organism in Eukaryota, Metazoa, Chordata, Testudines, Geoemydidae.
UAAUCAUUCCCAGCAGCUAUUGCCAGAUCAGGAACAAUAGGUGGAAUGAUAACACCACUUAUAUUAAAGUUAUCUAAUACUACAUAUUCUGAUUUCAUUUGCUCAUUAGUCAGGCAGUUCUUAUUAACACUAGUCAACUACAGACAAUAUAAUGCCAUUUUUGGAUGAAGCACCACUUAAAACCUGCCUUCGUGUUUGAGCUCAGGACAUUUCACAAAAUAAGGAGAAACCCGGUAUUACAGGGCUGCUUUUAAAAUGAGUUUGGAUAUCUAACACUGCUAGAAGCUGUUUCAACAGUAGCUCAGUUCCCAAUUAAACUCAUUACUAACACUCUAAAGUACAUUUGAAAAACCAACAUAAAUGUACUUUUCUUUCUCUUCGUGAAACUUGAACCUCAGGACAAAACUCAGAAAUGAACAAAAGCUGAUUCACUGGAACUGUGUCCGAGACUAAAAUUUUGACCAUGAAACCUACUGUUUAUUUCUAAAACUGAAUUAAAAUUAUAACUUGGUGUGUAUGCUGUGCA